This 404-nucleotide ribosomal RNA is filed under the name uncultured bacterium. Its description in RNAcentral is "bacterial SSU rRNA". It matches the Rfam family "Bacterial small subunit ribosomal RNA", at positions 355 to 775 of the family's 1533-position model. The record is from RNAcentral.
UAGGGAAUAUUGCACAAUGGGCGAAAGCCUGAUGCAGCAACGCCGCGUGUGCGAUGAAGGCCUUCGGGUCGUAAAGCACUUUUCUGAGAGAUGAGAAAGGACAGUAUCUCAGGAAUAAGUCUCGGCUAACUACGUGCCAGCAGCCGCGGUAAAACGUAGGAGGCAAGCGUUAUCCGGAUUCACUGGGUGUAAAGCGCGUGCAGGCGGUUCGGUAAGUUGGGCGUGAAAUCUCCUGGCUCAACUAGGAGAGGUCGUUCAAUACUACCGGGCUAGAGAGCGGUAGAGGAAGAUGGAAUUCCCGGUGUAGUGGUGAAAUGCGUAGAUAUCGGGAGGAACACCAGUGGCGAAGGCGAUCUUCUGGACCGUUCCUGACGCUCAGACGCGACAGCUAGGGUAGCAAACGG